GGCUGAGUGGGGUUCUGACUCC
RNAcentral lists this microRNA (22 nucleotides) under Homo sapiens (human). RNAcentral's name for it is "hsa-miR-8077". Lineage: Eukaryota; Metazoa; Chordata; Mammalia; Primates; Hominidae. The record is from miRBase by way of RNAcentral.